RNAcentral lists this ribosomal RNA (396 nucleotides) under uncultured bacterium. RNAcentral's name for it is "partial 16S ribosomal RNA". It matches the Rfam family "Bacterial small subunit ribosomal RNA", at positions 523 to 918 of the family's 1533-position model. The record is from RNAcentral.
AUACGUAGGUGGCAAGCGUUGUCCGGAUUUACUGGGUGUAAAGGGUGCGCAGGCGGGAUUGCAAGUUGGAUGUGAAAUACCGGGGCUUAACCCCGGAACUGCAUCCAAAACUGUAGUUCUUGAGUGGAGCAGAGGUAAGCGGAAUUCCGAGUGUAGCGGUGAAAUGCGUAGAUAUUCGGAGGAACACCAGUGGCGAAGGCGGCUUACUGGGCUCUAACUGACGCUGAGGCACGAAAGUGUGGGUAGCAAACAGGAUUAGAUACCCUGGUAGUCCACACUGUAAACGAUGAAUACUAGGUGUGGGGGGACUGACCCCCUCCGUGCCGGAGUUAACACAAUAAGUAUUCCACCUGGGGAGUACGACCGCAAGGUUGAAACUCAAAGGAAUUGACGGGG